This 433-nucleotide ribosomal RNA is filed under the name uncultured bacterium. Its description in RNAcentral is "bacterial SSU rRNA". It matches the Rfam family "Bacterial small subunit ribosomal RNA", at positions 486 to 916 of the family's 1533-position model. The record is from RNAcentral.
GGAAGCACCGGCUAACUCCGUGCCAGCAGCCGCGGUAAUACGGAGGGUGCAAGCGUUGUUCGGAUUUAUUGGGCGUAAAGCGCGUGUAGGCGGUUUGUUAAGUCUGAUGUGAAAGCCCUGGGCUCAACCUGGGAAGUGCAUUGGAAACUGGCAGACUUGAAUACGGGAGAGGGUAGUGGAAUUCCUAGUGUAGGAGUGAAAUCCGUAGAUAUUAGGAGGAACACCGGUGGCGAAGGCGGCUACCUGGACCGAUAUUGACGCUGAGACGCGAAAGCGUGGGGAGCAAACAGGAUUAGAUACCCUGGUAGUCCACGCCGUAAACGAUGAGUAUCUAGGUGUUGCGGGUAUUGACCCCUGCAGUGCCGCAGCUAACGCAUUAAGUACUCCGCCUGGGAAGUACGGUCGCAAGACUAAAACUCAAAGGAAUUGACGG